This 810-nucleotide ribosomal RNA is filed under the name Amphidinium cf. tomasii. Its description in RNAcentral is "partial large subunit ribosomal RNA". It matches the Rfam family "Eukaryotic large subunit ribosomal RNA", at positions 60 to 916 of the family's 3401-position model. Lineage: Eukaryota; Dinophyceae; Amphidiniales; Amphidiniaceae. The record is from RNAcentral.
AGAAACCGAAUGGGAAUCUCUUAGUAAUGGCGAAUGAAAAGAGAUGUGCUUAGUGUCAAAAUCAGGUUUCCCUGACUUGUAGGCUGUAGGGGUUAUGCCAACUUGGGUGCAGGUGCAAGUCUCUUGGAAAGGAGCACCAGUGAGGGUCAGGGUCCCGCCUGUCAUCUGUCAUCCCUUGUAGACGGUUUGCCCAUUGAGAGUCGUGUUCUUCUGGAAUAGAGCGCCAAACGGGUGGUACUCUUUGCCUAAGGAGCAUUACGUGCUUGAGACCAAUAGUGAACAAGUACCAUGAGGGAAGGAUGAAAAGGACUUUGGAAAGAGGGUUAAGAGGGCAUGAAGCUGCUGGAAGGGAAGUGGAUUGGACUUUUGUCUGUGGUAAGAUUGCAGGGUGCAGCUCUCACUUGUGAGGUCCUGCGCUCUGUGUCUCUUGCUACUCGGUUGGGCUCUGUGUGGCGCUCAGAAUCUUAGCGUGGAUUGGCUUGAUGGUUGCGGCCUGAUCCAUAUCCUUGCCUACUCUUGGUGCAACAUAAUUGCUUGACCAAAUAGUUCAAUUUUACCCGUCUUGAAACACGGACCAAGGAGUCUAAUGCGUGUGCAAGUGUAAGGGAUUCAAACCUGACAGCUCAACAAAUGUGACUGCUGGGAUUCUUGCACCAGCAACCAACUGAUCGCUUAGGAGAUGUUUGUGUAUGAGCACACUUGCUAGGACCCGAAAGGUGGUGAACUAUGCCUGAGAAGGGUGACGUCAGGGGAAACUCUGAUGGAAGCUCGUAGCGCUACUGACGUGCAAAUCGUUCGUCUGACUUGGGU